UACGGAGGGUGCAAGCGUUAUCCGGAUUCACUGGGUUUAAAGGGUGCGUAGGUGGGCUAGUAAGUCCGUGGUGAAAUCCCUGAGCUUAACUUGGGAACUGCCAUUGAUACUAUUAGUCUUGAAUAUCGUGGAGGUAAGCGGAAUAUGUCAUGUAGCGGUGAAAUGCGUAGAUAUCUGGAGGAAUACCGGUGGCGAAGGCGGCGUGCUGGACCUCAUCUGACGCUGAGGCGCGAAAGCCAGGGGAGCGAACGGG
RNAcentral lists this ribosomal RNA (253 nucleotides) under uncultured bacterium. RNAcentral describes it as "partial 16S ribosomal RNA". It matches the Rfam family "Bacterial small subunit ribosomal RNA", at positions 524 to 776 of the family's 1533-position model. The record is from RNAcentral.